RNAcentral lists this long non-coding RNA (213 nucleotides) under Brassica rapa (field mustard). RNAcentral describes it as "long non-coding RNA (BRAP_LNC008324)". Lineage: Eukaryota; Viridiplantae; Streptophyta; Magnoliopsida; Brassicales; Brassicaceae. The record is from RNAcentral.
UUGGUAAUCACACAAGAGAGUUCCUCCCAAAGUUCUAAGAGAGCAAACUAGAUCACCCAAUGAGCAAAUCCAAGUGAACCACAAAAGAUCAAGAGAGAAAGAUAAGAGAUUUAGAGGGGAACCCGCCUUAACCACCUCAAAGACCGGAUUUCUCUUCGGCCAGCAGGCUUUCUCUUCCACCACCACACCACAAACAAAUCAAACUUUGGAAUA